UACGUAGGGGGCAAGCGUUGUCCGGAUUUAUUGGGCGUAAAGAGCGUGUAGGCGGCUUUACAGGUCCGUUGUGAAAACUCGAGGCUCAACCUCGAGACGCCGGUGGAAACCGUAAGGCUAGAGUCCGGAAGAGGAGAGUGGAAUUCCUGGUGUAGCGGUGAAAUGCGUAGAGAUCAUGAGGAAGACCAGUGGCGAAGGCGGGUCUCUGGACAAUUGCUGACGCUCAGGCACGAAAGCGUGGGGAGCAAAAGGG
This 253-nucleotide ribosomal RNA is filed under the name uncultured bacterium. Its description in RNAcentral is "partial 16S ribosomal RNA". It matches the Rfam family "Bacterial small subunit ribosomal RNA", at positions 524 to 776 of the family's 1533-position model. The record is from RNAcentral.